GACGAACGCUGGCGGCGUGCCUAAUACAUGCAAGUAGAACGCUGAAGGAGGAGCUUGCUUCUCUGGAUGAGUUGCGAACGGGUGAGUAACGCGUAGGUAACCUGCCUGGUAGCGGGGGAUAACUAUUGGAAACGAUAGCUAAUACCGCAUAAUAGUAGAUGUUGCAUGACAUUUGCCUAAAAGGUGCAAUUGCAUCACUACCAGAUGGACCUGCGUUGUAUUAGCUAGUUGGUGGGGUAACGGCUCACCAAGGCGACGAUACAUAGCCGACCUGAGAGGGUGAUCGGCCACACUGGGACUGAGACACGGCCCAGACGCCUACGGGAGGCAGCAGUAGGGAAUCUUCGGCAAUGGACGGAAGUCUGACCGAGCAACGCCGCGUGAGUGAAGAAGGUUUUCGGAUCGUAAAGCUCUGUUGUAAGAGAAGAACGAGUGUGAGAGUGGAAAGUUCACACUGUGACGGUAUCUUACCAGAAAGGGACGGCUAACUACGUG
This 495-nucleotide ribosomal RNA is filed under the name uncultured bacterium. RNAcentral describes it as "partial 16S ribosomal RNA". It matches the Rfam family "Bacterial small subunit ribosomal RNA", at positions 28 to 507 of the family's 1533-position model. The record is from RNAcentral.